RNAcentral lists this unclassified non-coding RNA (303 nucleotides) under plant metagenome. Its description in RNAcentral is "partial contains 5.8S ribosomal RNA, internal transcribed spacer 2, and large subunit ribosomal RNA". The stretch from base 1 to 105 matches the Rfam family "5.8S ribosomal RNA", at positions 50 to 154 of the family's 154-position model. The record is from RNAcentral.
GAAAUGCGAUAAGUAAUGUGAAUUGCAGAAUUCAGUGAAUCAUCGAAUCUUUGAACGCACAUUGCGCCCGCCAGUAUUCUGGCGGGCAUGCCUGUUCGAGCGUCAUUUCAACCAUCAAGCCCCGCGCUUGUGUUGGGGACCUGCGGCUGCCGCAGGCCCUGAAAACCAGUGGCGGGCUCGCUGUCACACCGGGCGUAGUAGAUUUUAUCUCGCUCAGGGCGUGCUGCGGGUUCCGGCCGUUAAAAAGCCUUUUUUACCAAAGGUUGACCUCGGAUCAGGUAGGAAGACCCGCUGAACUUAAGC